This 672-nucleotide long non-coding RNA is filed under the name Mytilus galloprovincialis (Mediterranean mussel). The record is from RNAcentral. Lineage: Eukaryota; Metazoa; Mollusca; Bivalvia; Mytilida; Mytilidae.
UUGCUGAUUUUCGUCUACCUAUCAGAUCAAAUUUUUCUAUUGCAACUUUAUCUCCAUUGCAAAUCAUUGUAACUUAAUCACAUUCAAAAAUUUCUCCCUAUACAGAAUCAACAGUUAACAUAUUUUGUAAAUGAAUGUGUUAAACCUUUUCUUACCAUAAACACCAUUUUAUAUUUUAAAACACUAUGACUAUGUCAACCUUUAGCAGUCUAGGGCAGCUGACAUGGGUAAAUAAUAAAAUCAACUUAUUUGAUUGUGAAAUUUUGUGGUAAGUUUGAUGAUAGUAAUGGAGUAUAGUCUAGGGCAGCUGACGGGUAAAUAAUAAAAUCAAUUUAUUUGAUUGUGAAAUUUUGUGGUAAGUUUGAUGAUAGUAAUGGAGUAUAGUCUAGGGCAGCUGACGGGUAAAUAAUAAAAUCAACUUAUUUGAUUGUGAAAUUUUGUGGUAAGUUUGAUGAUAGUAAUGGAGUAUAGUCUUAUCAAUGAAAUAACUAAUUAAGGUGGUACCUAACACUACAGGGAGAUAACUCUGUAAAAUCAGCAGAACGUUUUAAUAACAUUGUGUUGUUAAGGGAAUAUUAAGCAUCUCAAUGAUCAAAAUUGGUGUUUGUCAAUCUGCUAUAUAACCAGUGUAAUUUUUCUGAUAAAAUGCUUGGUUCAAAAUUUUUGAAAUUU